GAUGAAGAACGCAGCGAAAUGCGAUACGUAAUGUGAAUUGCAGAAUUCAGUGAAUCAUCGAGUCUUUGAACGCACAUUGCGCCCCCUGGUAUUCCGGGGGGCAUGCCUGUCCGAGCGUCAUUGCUGCCCUCAAGCACGGCUUGUGUGUUGGGCCUCCGUCCUCCUCCCGGGGGACGGGCCCGAAAGGCAGCGGCGGCACUGCGUCCGGUCCUCGAGCGUAUGGGGCUUCGUCACCCGCUCUUGUAGGCCCGGCCGGCGCUUGCCGACACAUCAAUCUUUUUUCCAGGUUGACCUCGGAUCAGGUAGGGAUACCCGCUGAACUUAAGCAUAUCAAUAAGCGGAGGA
This 345-nucleotide unclassified non-coding RNA is filed under the name soil metagenome. Its description in RNAcentral is "partial contains 5.8S ribosomal RNA, internal transcribed spacer 2, and large subunit ribosomal RNA". The stretch from base 1 to 120 matches the Rfam family "5.8S ribosomal RNA", at positions 35 to 154 of the family's 154-position model. The record is from RNAcentral.